UGAUCGCCCACUGAAAUGAGAACCGGUUCAGACCUACGGGAGCAGCAGUGGGAAUUUGGACAAUGGGGCCAACCUGAUCAGCAUGCGCGUGAGUGAAGACGCUUCGGUUGUAAAGCUCUUUCGGCGGGAGAAAUCGCAUGGGUUAAUACCCUGUGCGGAUGACGUACGGCAUAAGAAGCACGGCUACUACGUGCCAGCAGCCGCGGUAAUACGUAGGGUGCGAGCGUAAUCGGAAUUACUGGGCGUAAAGCGUGCGCAGGCGGUUUUGUAAGACAGGCGUGAAAUCCCCGGGCUCAACCUGGGAACUGCCUUUGUGACUGCGAGGCUUGAGUAUGGCAGAGGGGGGUGGAAUUCCGCGUGUAGCAGUGAAAUGCGUAGAGAUGCGGAGGAACACCGAUGGCGAAGGCAGCCCCCUGGGCUGACACUGACGCUCAGGCACGAAAGCGUGGGGAGCAAACAGGAUUAGAUACCCUGGUAGUCCACGCCCUAAACGAUGAUCACUGGGUGUUCGGGGAGCGAUCUCUGGGUACCGUAGCUAACGCGUGAAGUGAUCCGCCUGGGGAGUACGGUCGCAAGAUUAAAACUCAAAGGAAUUGACGGGGACCCGCACAAGCGGUGGAUGAUGUGGUUUAAUUCGAUGCAACGCGAAAAACCUUACCCACCU
RNAcentral lists this ribosomal RNA (664 nucleotides) under uncultured bacterium. RNAcentral's name for it is "bacterial SSU rRNA". It matches the Rfam family "Bacterial small subunit ribosomal RNA", at positions 301 to 980 of the family's 1533-position model. The record is from RNAcentral.